Long non-coding RNA from Phacochoerus africanus (Common warthog), 3633 nucleotides. RefSeq lists it as uncharacterized. NCBI's taxonomy places the organism in Eukaryota, Metazoa, Chordata, Mammalia, Artiodactyla, Suidae. The transcript is spliced from 4 exons. The record is from RefSeq and is a predicted model, not a curated record.
AUGGAUACCAGUCGGGUUCAUUACUGCUGAACCACAAAGGGAAUUCCUACAUGUCUCAUUUAUAAAGACCCAGCUCAGACCUUCUGGGAGGCUUUUCAUCCAUCCAGAUUAGCCUCUGAGGCUGGUGGUCACCUUCCUACUUCUAUGAUAGACUUUAUACCAGUGGGUCCUGAAGUUGGGUCUCUGUCAGUAACUAGAGACGGGCUUUCAGGCUCCCACACUCAGUCUAAUCCUCACAAUAACCCCGCUACCCUGUGGCUAAUGGGCGUGCGGGGAGGGGCUCAGCAGAGGGGAGGAAGAACUGCUCCAGGAUCUCAAAGCUAAGGGGCGGGGCCGAGGCUUGAGCCCAGUCCUGUGGGUCACCAGGGUCAGGCUCACCCCACCCUCAGGUCCACCCUCCCUGGGAGGACACUGGCAGGGCAGGGCAGGGCAGGCAGGGGCUGUGCAUCACUCGUUUAGUCUUUGAAAUGACCACCAUCUGUAUGAUGUCUAGACGCUCCCACGGUCUGGCACAAAAGCCCCCCAUCCACAAAGCCACCCCUGCGGCCACCUGCUGAGGACCACCUUCCUCCUGGUGGCUCAUGGCACUUAGAGCUCCGUGGGUCCCCAGCUUGCGCUUCCCCGGUCAGCCAGGGUGUGUGGUGGGGGCAGCGCCUGGGCUUUAUUUUACUUCUCUUUUUCCUCUCCAUUUUCUUGUCUGCCCCUGAACAGACUGCAGUGCUUGGCAUGGAGAUGGGGCUUAGCAAACAUUUGUUUACAUGAAAUAAUUGUGUUUCUUUGGGGUCCAGCUCCUUCCUGUUUAUCAUUCAGGGCUGGCCAGAGAGAUCAGGUUCCAAAAAGCCAGAGGGUCUCUCAAGCACAGCUCUCUGGGCUCAGAAAGCCUUGCUGCUUCCUCCUUCCCUGGGAUGGAGAAUUCACUGUGGUGUCACCUCAGUGACUUAGUGACAACCUGACCUCCUGGAUGCAUCUUCCCCUAAAACACCCCUCUGGGUUCCACACCCACCUCUAGGCUCCAAUCACAAAGAAUGGCUGGUCCUAAAUCCAUCAUUUGCCUUCCUGCCUCUGGGCCUUUGCUUUGCUGUGCCUGCCCCCUAGAAUCCCUUUCUUUUUUUCUGUUUCUUUUCUUUUUUUACUAAAGUAUAGUUUAUUUACAAGGUUUUUUCAGUUUCUAUUGUACAACAACAGCAUCCCUUUCUUCACUAGUUCUGUGUGCAAAAAUCUUAGCCAUUCUUCAAAGUUCAGCCCCAGUGCCACCUCCCGGGUGGAAGUUUUGGCGUAGCCCUUCCAGGUAGAAUUCCUUUCCCCUCUUCUUCUGAAACCCCCCUCCCCUGUCUAUGCCACUGUCUGAUCCCACUCCAGUCUGUACUACAGUGUGGUACGUAGGUGUCUUCUCAGAACCGGAUGGAGAUGGGGCCCCAUGCCUCAGCCUCCUCUGAACCUCCCCAUGCUUGACACGCAAUGGAAGACCACCCCUUGGGCGGCAACAAGACCAGAGCAUAGAGAAACUACAGCUGCUUGGCAUCACGAAAAGGAUGUGAACUCUGGAAUCGAGGAAGACCUGGGUUUGAACCCUGCCUAUGUCACUACUGUGUGACUUUGGGCAGGCCUGUUGCUGGCUGAACCCAGGACAUUGCCUGAAAAGGAGCUUCAGUGAGACAAAUCUUUAGACGGUAUCUGAAAUUCUUGCCACUCAGCGGGACCUUAAACCCCUAUGACUCCCCCUUGGUGGGUCCAGCUCUGCCUUUGGGGGUCCCCACGCUCUACAUCUUUGGAAAUCUGAAAACACUGCCCAGGUUCCCUCAUGGGAGUGAAACAGGAAGAAUCAGAACACAAGGGAUGGAAAGAAACGGUAACGAUUUCGCCCAGCGGACAUCAUCCCAGCUACAGAUCCUGCACCCAGGCUCUUGGGGCCCACCACAGAGCUCCUGAGGCCCCAGAGAAAGCGUGGGGCACUUCAAACAGCUGUUAUGACAAGGAGGACGGGGCCCAGCCAAGCACUGCCUUGCUCCCUGACACCACCAAUGACACGCUAAAGCAUGUGGCACACAUUGCUGAUUCCGGUGGGGACCUUAUCCUUCGUUUCUGAGCAGCCUCACUUCUGGGUUCACACAGGGAACCAUGGCAGCACGUCAGCAACCCAGUUAAGCUGUUUCAACUCAUCCUUACUGCCUGAAAGGUGGCCCAUCCACCUCACUCCACCUGCACUUUGGGCUGGGAAACAGGAGGAUGCUCCUCACUGGCCAACGCCACACCCGACGGGCUCUGUCCACGAACGUGGGGAGGGAUGCGGUCAAGACUAAGGGGUGGGGCUCACAGCACCCCUCCAGCCUGGGUGAAACAGCCUCCCUCUACGCUCCAGAAAUCAAAACUGAGCCAAAAGCUUCUUGAGGAAAAGCACAACCAGGAUCCACUCCAGAGCAGGUCCCACAACUGAUGAGGGCCUGCCUGUCUUCUAUCACACUGAAUACAGCCAAGAAACUUGAGAGCAGAUGUCCAGUUUCACUUCUGAAUGAAGAAAGCAAGCUCUUAAUCUUCUGCAGAGGAUGCCAAGGCCUGACUCCAGUGUGGGCUCAGGGGUGGCCAUCCGUCUAGAUGAGGCCCCAGACAGGGCACGUUCCUUUCAGCGGCUACUGACUCCUAAGAGGCCAGCGGUGGCUGAAAGACGGAGGCUGGGAUGCUGUGAUCAGAUGCCCCCUCGUCAAACCUUUUUCUUGCUUUGAUCAAAACACCCGCUGUAGGGCCCAAGCAAAGAUGGGGGAAAGGAGAGGGUCCGGCAUCGAGGCUGCUCUCAGCAAGUCUACUGUUUCCAGAAGAGCUAUAUCCGGCAUCUGAAGCACCAUGACGCUCUGCAGCAAAGGGGCUCCUGCAGCACCCGGGAGGGCUGAGGCAGGAGGAGAGAUGACAUUGAACUGACAGCUCUGGCAACUAGAAACGGGAGGGGACAGGAUUCCCUGUGUAGGACCAGGGUGCGCCAAGGCAGUGCUGCUGGAGAGAACAUGCUCGCAGCCUACUUUCUCGUCUAUUUGGUAAAAUACAUAUAACAUUUGCCAUUUAACCAUCUCUAGGUGUGCAAGCCAGUGGCAUUACAUACAUUCACACUGGGGUUGUGCAACCAUCCCCGUCCUCCAGCCCCAGAAUUCUUCAUCAUCCUAAACCGACACUGUUCCCCAUUUACUCCCCAGCCUCUGACGACCACCCUUCUACUUUGUGUCUCUAGGAAUCUGACUGCCCAGGUACCUCAGAUAAAUGGAACCACAUGGUAUUUGGCCUUUGGUGACAGUCUUAUUCCACUUAGCAUAAUAUUUUUAAGGUUUUCCCAUAUAGAGUAGCCUGUGUCAGAAUUUCACUUCUUUUUAAGCUUGAGUAAUAGUCCAUCGUGUCUAUGCAUGGUUUACUUUUGCUGGAGUUCCAGGUCCGGGGAGGUAGGGCUUGAUACAAAAGCAGUGAAGCUGGUGAGAGUGAAAUGUUUAAAGGGGCUCAUGAGGCAUUCUCCAAAUUGGAGAACUCGUGGCAUAAAGAUAAGGUACAAGCCCCUGGGAGCCAUGUACCUUGAAGAGCAGCUGACAAAACGUGUGAAUGAUGUCAGUAAGAACACUUUUUUUAAAAAAUACUUUUUAGGGCUGCAGCACAGCA